This is a long non-coding RNA of Ixodes scapularis (black-legged tick), 327 nucleotides long. RefSeq lists it as uncharacterized. Lineage: Eukaryota; Metazoa; Arthropoda; Arachnida; Ixodida; Ixodidae. The transcript has 3 exons. The record is from RefSeq and is a predicted model, not a curated record.
AGGUUAUCUCGUCAUGGUGCACUUCUGUGUCUAAUAAUGAAACCUUUCCAGACCAGGCAGAGCCCGACAGACUGCAGAAUUCACCAGUCCCAUGCAGCUCCGCAGUAGUGCACUCUGCAGUACUCGACCCAAGUCAGGCAACCAGCUCUUCUGGUCUUUUCGCUGGCCACUGUGGUCCAGGUCAACACUCUGGUCCAAACCAUCCUGCACCUGUUUGCCGCAAGCUCACGAAAAGGCCCGAGGACGUUAUCAAGCGACUCCAGGCGAGAAUUUCCAGCUACAGAAAGACGAUAGCCAGACUGCGGAAACAGCCGCUGAAGACGCCUC